This 468-nucleotide ribosomal RNA is filed under the name uncultured bacterium. RNAcentral describes it as "partial 16S ribosomal RNA". It matches the Rfam family "Bacterial small subunit ribosomal RNA", at positions 28 to 507 of the family's 1533-position model. The record is from RNAcentral.
GACGAACGCUGGCGGCGUGCUUAACACAUGCCAGUCGAACGGAAAGGCCCUGCUUUUGUGGGGUGCUCGAGUGGCGAACGGGUGAGUAACACGUGAGUAACCUGCCCUUGACUUUGGGAUAACUUCAGGAAACUGGGGCUAAUACCGGAUAGGAGCUCCUGCUGCAUGGUGGGGGUUGGAAAGUUUCGGCGGUUGGGGAUGGACUCGCGGCUUAUCAGCUUGUUGGUGGGGUAGUGGCUUACCAAGGCUUUGACGGGUAGCCGGCCUGAGAGGGUGACCGGCCACAUUGGGACUGAGGUACGGCCCAGACUGCUACGGGAGGCAGCAGUGGGAAAUAUUGCACAAUGGGCGGAAGCCUGAUGCAGCAACGCCGCGUGCGGGAUGACGGCCUUCGGGUUGUAAACCGCUUUCGCCUGUGACGAAGCGUGAGUGACGGUAAUGGGUAAAGAAGCACCGGCUAACUACGUG